UGAAUUCACCACAGAAAAGACUUGCUGUGACAAAUAAGAAAGAAUUCACCUCAAGAACCUUUGGAUUAUUUAUGCAGCAGCUUGAUCAAGCAGAGAUCCUAAACACGAGGUAAACCUGAACAAUCCUUCCAACAGGCUGAAGGGAACACGGCUAGAAGCUCAGAAUCAUUGUAUGUCACUUGUGGAAGUGAAGAGUCCUGCCACCCCAUCAACAGGAUGUUGGGGGUGACUGGAUCGGGUCUGCGAUGUCUGAAGAUGUUUAAUCAAGGGGUUUAGCAUUAAGGAUUCCCUCAAUUUCAAUAAAAACAGUUUGCAGUACUCAUUCAGUGACUGUCUGUGCUCUGAGGGUCACUUGCUGGGCUGUUUUCAGAUAUCAAAUCUCCCACUCCCAACAUCCACCAAAAUGUGGGGCAUUAGGUGGGU
Cyprinus carpio carpio is the source of this 423-nucleotide long non-coding RNA. Lineage: Eukaryota; Metazoa; Chordata; Actinopteri; Cypriniformes; Cyprinidae. The record is from Ensembl.